UAAUGGCCUACCAAGGCUUUGACGGGUAGCCGGCCUGAGAGGGUGACCGGCCACACUGGGACUGAGACACGGCCCAGACUCCUACGGGAGGCAGCAGUGGGGAAUAUUGGACAAUGGGCGGAAGCCUGAUCCAGCAACGCCGCGUGAGGGAUGACGGCCUUCGGGUUGUAAACCUCUUUCACCAUUGACGAAGCUGCAUCUUUUUGGGUGUGGUGACGGUAGGUGGGGAAGAAGCACCGGCCAACUACGUGCCAGCAGCCGCGGUAAUACGUAGGGUGCGAGCGUUGUCCGGAAUUAUUGGGCGUAAAGGGCUCGUAGGCGGUUUGUCGCGUCGGGAGUGAAAACCUCGGGCUUAACUCGGGGCUUGCUUUCGAUACGGGCAGACUAGAGGUAUGCAGGGGAGAACGGAAUUCCUGGUGUAGCGGUGAAAUGCGCAGAUAUCAGGAGGAACACCGGUGGCGAAGGCGGUUCUCUGGGCAUGAUCUGACGCUGAGGAGCGAAAGUGUGGGGAGCGAACAGGAUUAGAUACCCUGGUAGUCCACACCGUANACGUUGGGCGCUAGGUGUGGGGUCCAUUCCACGGGUUCCGUGCCGCAGCUAACGCAUUAAGCG
RNAcentral lists this ribosomal RNA (612 nucleotides) under uncultured bacterium. Its description in RNAcentral is "bacterial SSU rRNA". It matches the Rfam family "Bacterial small subunit ribosomal RNA", at positions 258 to 866 of the family's 1533-position model. The record is from RNAcentral.